This 624-nucleotide ribosomal RNA is filed under the name uncultured bacterium. RNAcentral's name for it is "bacterial SSU rRNA". It matches the Rfam family "Bacterial small subunit ribosomal RNA", at positions 49 to 662 of the family's 1533-position model. The record is from RNAcentral.
UUACACAUGCAAGUCGAGCGGUAACAGAGGUAGCUUGCUAUCUGCUGACGAGCGGCGGACGGGUGAGUAAUGCUAGGGAAUAUGCCUUUGAGUGGGGGACAACAGUUGGAAACGACUGCUAAUACCGCAUAACGUCUACGGACCAAAGGGGGGGAUGCUUCGGCACCUCAAGCUCAUUGAUUAGCCCAAGUGAGAUUAGCUAGUUGGUAAGGUAAUGGCUUACCAAGGCGACGAUCUCUAGCUGGUUUGAGAGGAUGAUCAGCCACACUGGGACUGAGACACGGCCCAGACUCCUACGGGAGGCAGCAGUGGGGAAUAUUGCACAAUGGGCGAAAGCCUGAUGCAGCCAUGCCGCGUGUGUGAAGAAGGCCUUCGGGUUGUAAAGCACUUUCAGCGAGGAGGAAAGGUUAGUAGUUAAUAGCUGCUAGCUGUGACGUUACUCGCAGAAGAAGCACCGGCUAACUUCGUGCCAGCAGCCGCGGUAAUACGAGGGGUGCAAGCGUUAAUCGGAAUUACUGGGCGUAAAGCGUGCGUAGGUGGUUUGUUAAGCAAGAUGUGAAAGCCCCGGGCUCAACCUGGGAACUGCAUUUUGAACUGGCAAACUAGAGUUUUGUAGAGGGUAGU